This 321-nucleotide long non-coding RNA is filed under the name Manihot esculenta (cassava). RNAcentral's name for it is "long non-coding RNA (MESC_LNC002877)". The record is from RNAcentral. Lineage: Eukaryota; Viridiplantae; Streptophyta; Magnoliopsida; Malpighiales; Euphorbiaceae.
UUGCCAUGGUGAAAAAUAUAUUGAUGACCCUCAUUUGAGAGAAUGAAUUGAAAGUUGUGUGAAUAAACUUAACAUGACUUAAUUUAGCAAUUGGUGUUGAUUUGCCCAAAUCAUUGAGAGAAAGAAAAUUCAGCAAAGGCAAAGUCCUCAAAAGCACAAAUUAAAAACUGUUCCAAUGGUCAAAAGACUAUGAACAGAGCUAGUAGCCACUUGGACAGGUGACCAACUGAAAAAUAUAUACCUUCACAUCAAAAAUAGGUUGGUGACCUUGCCAAGCAAGAUCUAAAGUGCAAAAGCCUGAAUAAAGUACUUCAAGGUAAG